RNAcentral lists this small nuclear RNA (105 nucleotides) under Aotus nancymaae (Ma's night monkey). Lineage: Eukaryota; Metazoa; Chordata; Mammalia; Primates; Aotidae. The record is from RNAcentral.
GUGCUUGCUUCGACAGCACAUAUACUACAAUUGGAAAAUACAGAGAAGAACAACAUGGCCCCUGCGCGUAAGUUACAGAAUGAGGAAGACGUGGUGUACGUACAA